RNAcentral lists this ribosomal RNA (272 nucleotides) under uncultured bacterium. RNAcentral's name for it is "partial 16S ribosomal RNA". It matches the Rfam family "Bacterial small subunit ribosomal RNA", at positions 793 to 1055 of the family's 1533-position model. The record is from RNAcentral.
GUCCUUGCCGUAAACGAUGUGGAUUAGGUGUCGGGGGUGUCGAUCCCCUCGGCGCCUACGAUAACUCAUUAAAUCCACCACCUGGGGAGUACGGUCGCAAGACUGAAACUCAAAGGAAUUGACGGGGACCCGCACAAGCGGUGGAGCAUGUGGUUUAAUUCGAGGCUACGCGAAGAACCUUACCUAGGCUUGACAUGUUUGCAGUAGUCCUGGUGAAAGCCGGGGCGACCGUAUCCAAUCGGAGGCAUACACAGGUGCUGCAUGGCUGUCGU